UAGACGAUAACAUUAUCCUUUAUCCAUUGGAUUGGUGUAGCAAUGUUCAGAAUGCUCUCAAUAAGUAAUAAAGGCAAGCGCUAAUUGGAAAGGUUUAAACGGAAGAUGUAGCUUAAUGCAUGGCAUCAUGAUUAAUUGGAAAGGCAUGUGCACGAACUUGGUCAAAGCAAAAACAUUCAAUCUUCAUAUCUUGAAAUAUGAUGAUAAAUUUUGGUUGGUCAAUGGAUGUGUUAUUG
Molecule: long non-coding RNA, 236 nt
Filed under: Elaeis guineensis (African oil palm)
Lineage: Eukaryota; Viridiplantae; Streptophyta; Magnoliopsida; Arecales; Arecaceae
Description: long non-coding RNA (EGUI_LNC049052)
Source: RNAcentral